Mesoplodon densirostris (Blainville's beaked whale) is the source of this 4961-nucleotide long non-coding RNA. RefSeq lists it as uncharacterized. The transcript is spliced from 4 exons. The record is from RefSeq and is a predicted model, not a curated record. Lineage: Eukaryota; Metazoa; Chordata; Mammalia; Artiodactyla; Ziphiidae.
ACAGUGCUUUCGGGUUGGGGUUUUAUCAAGUCCCCUUUACUGCCUAGGAGGCCUCGACUCCCCGCCGGGACCGGGCCCCUCCCCAUCCCCCCACCAGCCAGGGGCGAGAGAGGCGAGGCUGUAGGGGUCACCUCGGAGCAGGGCCAUGGCGGCGGGCGGCAGCGCAGGGGUCCUCCUCCGCGACGCUGACGUACCGCCCCGGGCACUCGGUCUUUAAGCGCGCGGGGCGGCGCCAGCCUGGCCUCGGCCGCGCCUUUUUACCUACUUCGCGCCGCUCGGCCAGGGCUCUCUCUCUCUUUUGGCAGGACGCGGCCCUCUGCGCCACCCCGUGGGAACCAAGGGUACCAAAACCUCCCGGGGAGACCGGCCUUGGACAAGAGAACGUUCCUCGCAAGCGGAUUUUUUUCCUCAUAUCGCUGUUUUUAAAGACUUUGUCUCCCAAUCAAGAGAAUGAUUUGACUCUACCCUGUCCAUCCUAUCCACGGCCUCUAUACGCCCCGCUACCCCCAACAGUUGAUUGCAUCCAUGGACACAGAACCCAAGGAUACAGAGGGCCUUGACUUUGAAUAAAUGAGACAGGUCUCCCUAUUCCCUGAGACACAAUAGUAUUGAAAUUAGGCCAACUUAUAACCCUGCAGUGGCCUCUUAAGUGCUCAAGUGAAAGGAAGAGUCACACAUCUCUCACAUUAUAUCAAAAGCUAGAAAUGAUGAAACUUAGUGAGGAAGGCAUGUGGAAAGCCAAGAUAGGCUGAAAGCUAGGCCUUUUGCAAACAUUUAGCCAAGUUGUGAAUGAAAAGGAAAAGUUCUUGAAGGAAAUUGAAAGUGGUACUCCAGUGAACACACAAUGAUAAGAAAGCAAAACAGCCUAUCUCUGAUACAGAAGUGUUCAUGGUCUGGAUAGAAGAUCAAGCCCGUCACAACAUUCCCUUAAGCCAAACCCUGGUCCAGAGCAAGGCCCUAACUCUCUUCAGUUCUGUGAAGGCUGAGAGAGGUGAGGAAGCAGCAGAAGAAAAGUUUGAAGCUAGCAGAGGUUGGUCCAUGAGGUUUAAGGAAAGAAGCUGUCUCUAUAACAUCAAAGUGCAAGGUGAAGCAGCAAGUGCUGAUGUAGUAGCUGCAGCAAGUUAUCCAGAAUCUAGCUAAGAUAAUUAAUGAGGGUGGUUAGACUGAACAACAAAUUUUCAAUGCAGACAAAACAGCUGUCUAUUGGAAGAGGAUGCCAUCUAGGACUUUCAUAGCCAGAGAGGAGAAGUCAAUGCCUGACUUCAAAGCUUCGAAGGACAGGCUGACUAUCUUGUUAGGGGCUAAUGGAGCUGGUGACUUGAAGUUGAAGCCAAUCCUCACUUACCUUUCUGAAAAUCUUAGGAUCCUUAAGAAUUAUGCUAAAUCUACUUUGCCUGUGCUCUAUAAAUGGAACAACAAGCCUGGAUUACAGCACAUCUGUUUACCACAUGGUUUUCUGAAUAUUUUAAGCCCAUUGUUGAGACCUCCUGCUCAGAAGAAAAGAUUCCUUUCAAAAUAUGACUGCUCAUUGACAAAGCACCUGGUCACCCAAGAGCUCUGAUGGAGAGGUACAAUGAGAUUUAUGUUGUUUUCAUGCCUGCUAACACAACAUCCAUCGUGCAGCCCAUGGAUCAAGGAGUCAUUUUGACUUUCAAGUCUUAUUGUUUAAGAUAUACAUUUUGUAAGGCUAUAGCUGCCAUACAUAGUGAUUUGAGAAGAUUAACUCUAAUUUUGAAAGAUGUUCUACUGUGGGUAAAAUGCUAUCAAACAUCAUUGCACGCUACGAGCAAUCGUUCAUGAAAGGAAGAGUCAAUAGAUGUGGCAACUUCAUUGUUGUCUUUUUUUUUCUUUAAUUUUAUUUCUUUAUUUAUUUUUAUACAGCACGUUCUUAUUAGUUCUCUAUUUUACACAUAUUAGUGUAUAGAUGUCAAUCAGAAUUGCUGCAGCCACCCAACUUUCAGCAACUACCACGCUGAUCAGUCAGUAGCCAUCAACAUUGAGGCAAGACCCUCCACCAGCAAAAAGUUUAAGAUUUGAAGGUUCAGAUGAUGGUUAGCAUUUUUAAGCAAUAAAGUAUUUUUAGAUUAAGAUAUGUACAUUGUUUUUUUAGACAUAAUGCUAUUGCACACUUCAGUAUAGUGGAAACAUAACUUUUAUAUGCACUAGGAAACCAACAAAUUCAUGUUACUCACUUCAUUGUGAUAUUCACUUUAUUGCAGUGGUCUGCAACCAAACUGGCAGUAUCUCCAAGGUACCUGCCAUAACCUGUAUAACCUGAGGUGUAACCAUGCAGGCCCCUGUUGGUCCUUCCCUGGACAGACCCACCCCCUACCCCCACCCCCACAUCCACCUGCCUCUUGUUGGUAGAAAAACUUUAACCGCCUAUGCCCUCCCUGAGUUCCAAAGAGCAAACUUAAUCAGAGAAUGAGAAAAUGCAGAAACAAAGGAAAACAGUCAAGACAAAAAUAAUAACAGUUUAGCCAUUAAACAAAGUCAAGGACCUUUAGUUCCUCCUCAAGGGCUAUAGAUAAUAUUCUGAGCCAAGUCCUUUGAGCUGUUUUGCAGAUACUGAAACCGCCACCAGGUGGGAGAAGUUAACUGCGUGCUGCCCACAAGCACAUAGACCCCAGACCAGCUGGAACCAGAAGGUUGGUGAUGUUGACUCCUGAUUACCUCGCCACCAACCAGUCAGAAGAAUGUCUAGGAGCAGAUCAGACCGAAGUAGCCUUUGGUUCAUCCAGGAACAUCCCAUCCUCUGGACCUUCAGGACAGUAUCAUUGGGAGCAGAGAAGGGCCAGGAGUGCCACACUAAGAAACAACCACCGGCAGGAACAGACUUGCAGUGGAAGCUGGGCUUGCUCUGAGGCCCUCGGCUGACAGUGACCACACCUGCUGGGUGCUGAGGGCGGUGCACAGGGAGCAGAUGGCCUCUGCAUCCUCGGGGCUCUUCUUCUUUAACUGCAGGAGCUGGGCUGCUUGGAUCAGAGGUUCCAUGGUCUCAGCAACUUCCCUCUGGUGCAGGUUUCUUCCCCGAAGCCACUCCUCCAGCUGACUUAUAUUGUACCUUAGACACAGGAAGAGUGAGCUCUGUUAAAGCUGGCCUCCUACUUCACUGGGAAGAGCUCACCUCCUGUGUUUAUUUUGUAGGCCAGCUGCCAUUAGUGUUAUCAGUCUCCUCAUCUUAAUUGUCUCACGUGGGCAGAAGCGUGAAAAGUACCUGGCACUCAAUAACUUUUUGUGAAAUGAGUGGGUGCUUAAAAUCAAGCCAAGAUGAAGUACCUAAAGUGCCUGUACUAAGUUAAUGAGAAAAAAAGGCAUUAACUAUAUUGAAUUAAAACCACUUAGCAUUUAACAUUCGCAAACAUGUUUGUACUUCUCUGUGAGCCUCCAUGCCUCUUAAGUCAUUACUUUUCCUCUCUGACCUAUCCACCUCAUAUUUACAAUCUUUAUAUUAAAGUAUGUAAACGUGUUUAAGCUCUGAACUAAUUUGUUUACCGGGUCACCAUCUCAGCGUGUGAUGAAUUUCACCAACCAAUAAAAAGGUGAUGGAUCUGAGUCACAUACUAACUGUGACAAGGACAAUCAGUUGGAUUUGGAUUUCAUUUUCAGAGACAAGUGUCCCGUGCCUGACUAGAGCUGGCGUGUGCCAGGCCAAGGCGCUUCUCGUACCUGAGCUGCAUGCCUGUGCUCCAGGAGCAGACGUCCUUCCUCAGAAGCAGGUUGUUGAGAGUCACCGCGGUGAUCAUGUAGAAGAGCUGUUUGAACACCUGGCGGAUGAUCUCGGGGUCCAGGCCCUGGUCGCACAUGACUGUGUGGAAGGAAUUCAUCUGGCGGAUGAUGGCUUCCAGGCAGUAGGAGUUAUCUCCAUCCGCCAGGCUGGAGGUGCGCUUCCGGUAGCCCGUGGGCUUCACCCCAGACAGACCCUGAAUGCUCUCGUUCUCCAGCAUGGCAGACACUGAAAGAAAAGCAUGAUUAGAGAAGCUGCAUGUUCCCAAAGAAGAUCUGUUUUCGGGUCACUGAGAUCACACAGUACUCAGGGCUUUGUCAGUGAUCCCACCCAGAGGUGAACAAGGUCGACAUGCUCAGGAACUUGCAGCAUUUGGCAUGGAAUUUCUAACCUGUUGAUUUCUACACAGAAUAGGACUUCCACAUAGAAAUCUUGGACUAAACCUGUGGACCAAAUUUUCGCUUAAAUUUACUGGUGAUGGGACAGAGGUGAAAGGCACGUACCAACUUAAUUCUGUACUGGCUUCUGUGCUGAGAGACCAGAAUUGAGCAACUUGGGUGUAGUCAGGGCCCAGCCACUGACCUGGGCCUGGACCCUGAGAUCAUCCUAUAGUUGUUCAAAUAGCUUUUCUCCAUCAGCCACCGACCAUGUAAAUCUUAGGUGAGCUGGUCUGUCAUACUUACUGCACAGCACUUAACUACAGGUCAGGCACUUUUAAUCUUCCAACAACCCAUUUCCUAAUGAGGAAAUUGAGGCAUAAAGAGGUUAAAUAACUUGCCCAAAGUCACCCUGCUAGGAAGUGGCAGGGCCAGGAUUUGAACCCCGGUCUGUCUGAUGCUGUUAACCAUCAUCUUCUCUGAGUCAUGAAACAUCCCCAGUUCUCCCUAUGUCUGGUGAGAAUAAACUGGCGCCUCAUAAGAAGAGUCUCAGACAGGAAGAAGGAUUUGGAAUGAAUCUUAUCCCAAGGGAUAUAUUUCUGGAUGGCAUGUAGGACUCUGUCCUACUUGGAAUUCUCUUAUAACCUACUUGUGUUGUAAGAACCUGGGGAAAGAAUUACUUACAUGGUCCAGGAGACUACUUCCUCAACAGCCUUUAAGGAGCACAGUGAGUGAUGCAUAUACGUGUCACUUUUCUUGUGACUUAAAAAAUAACUGCUCUUAUUUUCAAAUCUGAUUUCAUGUUAAGUGCCCAAGUGUACUGCUUUGGACAGAAUGUUCAAUAAAUAUUGAUUGCA